Molecule: non-coding RNA, 203 nt
Organism: Pelobates cultripes (western spadefoot toad)
Lineage: Eukaryota; Metazoa; Chordata; Amphibia; Anura; Pelobatidae
Source: the annotation of a GenBank genome assembly
UUGUGUCCAUGUGGGCGUACCUCUUGCUUGGGGACUUGCAUAAAAGGCCAAGUGUGGCAACAUUAAAAUCUAUUCGGCUUACACUCCAAAACUGUGUGUUGUCCUGUUAUUGAAGGGAAAGAAGAUUUACUCCUGUGUCUGCUGUUCCAGCUUGCAGGGGAUUCAACAGAGAAAGUCGUUGUAAGGACUAGAGCUAAUUCCCC